UACGUAGGGUGCAAGCGUUGUCCGGAAUUAUUGGGCGUAAAGAGCUCGUAGGCGGUCUGUCACGUCGGGCGUGAAAAUCCAGGGCUUAACCCUGGACCUGCAUUCGAUACGGGCAGACUAGAGUUCGGUAGGGGAGACUGGAAUUCCUGGUGUAGCGGUGAAAUGCGCAGAUAUCAGGAGGAACACCGGUGGCGAAGGCGGGUCUCUGGGCCGAUACUGACGCUGAGACGCGAAAGCGUGGGGAGCAAACGGG
Molecule: ribosomal RNA, 253 nt
Filed under: uncultured bacterium
Lineage: Bacteria
Description: partial 16S ribosomal RNA
Rfam family: Bacterial small subunit ribosomal RNA
Source: RNAcentral